Schizosaccharomyces pombe (fission yeast) is the source of this 437-nucleotide non-coding RNA. NCBI's taxonomy places the organism in Eukaryota, Fungi, Ascomycota, Schizosaccharomycetes, Schizosaccharomycetales, Schizosaccharomycetaceae. The record is from the annotation of a GenBank genome assembly.
UCAAUUAAAUUUCCGGAAGAAGAAUAAAUUUUAUAAGUAAUCAUUUUAAAAUAGGACAGAGUUUUUUAACAAAUUUUAAGCUAGUAAACAAUUAAUCUAAUACUCUGGCGAAAGUUGCUAGCUUUAUUAAAGAGGAAUCUCAUAUGGACUGAAGCAUCGUGCAAAUUUUUGAAAAUUACAUUUGGUAAAUUAAAACCUAGAUUAUUUCAUCUAAAUAAUAUGGCUUAAAGUGCGCAUAAAUAUGGAUGCUGGUUUCAAAUCAUUUGAAUAUUAUGUCUUGUGCAAAAAGCUCUUUAAAAAAAUUACAGAAGUGCAAAUGUACCACAUAUUUCAAGUUAAAAUGAACCCUUCUAGGACUUCUAACAAUUUUAGUAAAUUUUCUCACUAAAUCAAUUAUAAUCUACAUGAAAUGAAUCUAACAUCGCACUCUUUAUCGU